This 301-nucleotide ribosomal RNA is filed under the name uncultured bacterium. Its description in RNAcentral is "partial 16S ribosomal RNA". It matches the Rfam family "Bacterial small subunit ribosomal RNA", at positions 509 to 807 of the family's 1533-position model. The record is from RNAcentral.
CAGUCGCCGCGGUAAUACGAGGGGUGCAAGCGUUAUUCGGAUUGAUUGGGUGUAAAGGGUGUGCAGACGGCUUAUUAAGUCACUUGUUAAAUUCUUCGGCCUAACUGAAGGUCUGCAAGUGAUACUGAUGAGCUAGAGGGUGGAAGAGAGAAGUGGAAUUCUCGGAGUAGCGGUAAAAUGCGUAGAUCUCGAGAGGAACACCAAUGGCGAAGGCAGCUUCUUGGUCCAUUUCUGACGUUCAUACACGAAAGCGUGGGGAGCGAACAGGAUUAGAUACCCGCGUAGUCCCUGUCUCUUAUAC